Molecule: long non-coding RNA, 433 nt
Organism: Dreissena polymorpha
Lineage: Eukaryota; Metazoa; Mollusca; Bivalvia; Myida; Dreissenidae
Exons: 3
Source: RefSeq, a predicted model, not a curated record
CACAAGACUUUCUGGCUUUCCAUUUUUUGUUGUGAUUUGUCACUAUGCGAUUUCUGUCUGAAUCAAAUCACUAAUUUUCCAUGUGUCCCAAUUUCAAAGAUGAGACAUUCAAGUGUACAUGUUCACACCAGACAUGAGGUAUGUAGAGACCUUCAAUUGUACAUGUUCACACCAGACAUGAGGUAUGUAGAGAUCUUCAAUUGUACAUAUUUUCACCAGACAUGGGGUAUGUAGAGACCUUCAAUUGUACAUGUUCACACCAGACAUGGAGUAUAUAGAGACCUUCAAUUGUACAUGUUCACACCAGACAUGGAGUAUGUAGAGACCUUCAAUUGUACAUGUUCACACCAGACAUGGAGUAUGUAGAGACCUUCAAUUGUACAUGUUCACACCAGACAUGGAGUAUGUAGAGACCUUCAAUUGUACAUGUUCA